This is a non-coding RNA of Ipomoea nil (Japanese morning glory), 74 nucleotides long. The record is from the annotation of a RefSeq genome assembly. Lineage: Eukaryota; Viridiplantae; Streptophyta; Magnoliopsida; Solanales; Convolvulaceae.
GUCUGGGUGGUGUAGUUGGUUAUCACACUAGUUUCAUAGAUUGGAGGUCCCUAAUUCAAACCUGGGCUCAGACA